This 497-nucleotide ribosomal RNA is filed under the name uncultured bacterium. Its description in RNAcentral is "partial 16S ribosomal RNA". It matches the Rfam family "Bacterial small subunit ribosomal RNA", at positions 28 to 507 of the family's 1533-position model. The record is from RNAcentral.
GAUGAACGCUGGCGGCGUGCCUAAUACAUGCAAGUCGAGCGAACAGACGAGGAGCUUGCUCCUCUGACGUUAGCGGCGGACGGGUGAGUAACACGUGUAUAACCUACCUAUAAGACUGGGAUAACUUCGGGAAACCGGAGCUAAUACCGGAUAAUAUAUUGAACCGCAUGGUUCAAUAGUGAAAGACGGUUUUGCUGUCACUUAUAGAUGGAUCCGCGCCGCAUUAGCUAGUUGGUAAGGUAACGGCUUACCAAGGCAACGAUGCGUAGCCGACCUGAGAGGGUGAUCGGCCACACUGGAACUGAGACACGGUCCAGACUCCUACGGGAGGCAGCAGUAGGGAAUCUGCCGCAAUGGGCGAAAGCCUGACGGAGCAACGCCGCGUGAGUGAUGAAGGUCUUCGGAUCGUAAAACUCUGUUAUUAGGGAAGAACAAAUGUGUAAGUAACUAUGCACGUCUUGACGGUACCUAAUCAGAAAGCAACGGCUAACUACGUG